CGCCUCCGUCCUCCUCAUAGCCUCCUGGAAGUUGAUGUACAGCUGCUUCCCGUACUGACCAGACAGAUGGACAGACAGACAGGACAAGCUGUUACCUUGGCGAUUCGAAUACUGUUGAUCCAUUGUUGGAGUGUUCUGACAUCGUCACAGCAAAGGUGGCAGUGGAAGACUGUGGAGCCGCAAACCAGACAGGAGUAGAAGUUUUGCCCAAACCAUCAGCUUCCCUUUGUUACACACACCUUGGCCUUCCCCUUUGGAACAUAGUAGAUGCCAGAAGCCCUCAGCAGGAAGUAACGUUUCUUCCAAG
Plectropomus leopardus (leopard coralgrouper) is the source of this 307-nucleotide non-coding RNA. NCBI's taxonomy places the organism in Eukaryota, Metazoa, Chordata, Actinopteri, Perciformes, Serranidae. The record is from RefSeq and is a predicted model, not a curated record.